GGAUCUGGGGCCGCCAACGAGACAAGAAAAGAGGGAGACAGACCCAUGACACGGUCCUCCUGCUGGUUUCGUGUUGGCAGGGAAGGGCUCUGACGUUCCUCUCAUUGGUGGCCCCUCACACCAAACCCACUCUGACUUUAGGUGCGUCUGCCUGCCUGGGUAGGGGGGCCACGGGAGCCAAGCAGGAGUGUAACAGAACUUCCUCCAGUCGGGUCUGAAGAAACCCCGUGACACCAGGAGGCGUUUGCAAGGGCGCCGGGACUAACAAAAGCCCGCAGCCUUUUUGAGAUGUCUCGCCUGGCGCGGGGGCUCAGCACCUGGCACGCACACCCACCCCGGCCCCGACACCCCACCCAACGUCAAGACCCCGUACGCCCACUCAAAGCACCCCCGCCCCCGCCAGGGAGACCUACAACCCAGGCAAUCGCCACGAGGAGAGCGUGGACAGAGGAACAGGGUGCUAGGGGUCCUAAAACGCGGGCGCUGUCAGGGCCCCAGGCCGGGACGCGGUGGUGCUGGGACGGACAGAAGUAGGUUGGAGUAAAUAGCUGCUACCUGAGAGACCGGUGAUGUCCAUUUUCGGCAGGUGUCGGGCUUUGAGGACCACCACUGUCAUUCUCUGUGCCACGGGCUGGUAUGACAGAGACACCUGGAGCUCCCCUCUGCUAAUGCACUUCUGUGGAGAAGGAACAGCAGUCUCUAUGCCCAAGGUGGGGCUUGAACUCACAACCCCGAGAUCAAGAGUUGCAUGUUCCACGGACAGAGCCAGCCGGGCGCCCAGGAUCUGGUUCUUGCUCCCAGGGAGCUUACCAUGUCCAGAGAGACAGGCAUAAACAAACACGCCCUCCUCAGGGCCGUCAGGACCUGUCCCACUGCUGCUGGGGGACCCCCGGGAGGGGGGUUUGCCACACAACCUCCGGGCUGAGUUUAUGACAGUGAGUCCGUGGGAAGACUGGUCAGGACGAACGGCAGGAAAGGCCGCUAUGAAGGCACUGGGUCCUGAGAGGGUCCCCUGUGUUCCCAGAGUUGGGGGGAGGUGCCGGGAGGAGGGAACCUGGGGGGUGGGUCAGGCGAGGGCCUUGGAACCAAACAGCAGACUCAGCCGCAGCACACAGGCCAAGGGCAGCCACCAGCACAGGGGCGACAGGCGUUGCCGCCGUCGACGAUUUAUGAAGGCCGCUACUGUUCUAGUGGAGGCCGGACAACUGAUGGACGGACAGACGGACGGACAGACAGAGCAGAGGCGGCCCUGAGGCUGAGGAGGGGACACUGAGGCCGGGACCCGGGGAUGGGUGUGGGGCAAGAAGUGACAGGAAGAACUGACGAAAGUGGAAGUGGGAGGGGAGAGUGGAGGGCAAUUUCUUGUUUCUUAGCUCAUUUUUAAAAUUAUGAUCAAAAAACAUUUUUUUUCUCGUUAAAAAUCUUUAAAAAUUUUAA
Molecule: long non-coding RNA, 1437 nt
Organism: Acinonyx jubatus (cheetah)
Lineage: Eukaryota; Metazoa; Chordata; Mammalia; Carnivora; Felidae
Exons: 2
Source: RefSeq, a predicted model, not a curated record